UUUUUUUCCUUUUUUUGUUUUCCAUACCACUCCUCUCACCACUGCUCUGCCAUCUUUCACAUUCCCUAGCAGGCUGUCUCUGUUUUCUCCCAUCCCCUUUCUUCCCUUUCCCCUUUCUCCACGUUGUUUUCUUCUUCUAGAACUCCCAAGUUUCACAGGAACACCAAGCCAAGGCUCCUUCCAAGCCUCAGACAGAGCAGGUUGUCUCUGCCUCCUCUGGACAGAGCAGGUGGAACAGGUUCACUAAUGUGAUCACUCCUCACAUGGAAGCAACUGUUCUGCCAGAAAAACUUGUAGACUCUUAAAUGAGACCUCUGACAGGUCUCCUUUCAAGGCUUUUAAGUUCCUUGCUCUGUCACUAUUAACUGGAGAAGACGAGUGUUUAAGAUUUUUUUGAGAUUGGUUAGGACAGCUCAUCCUGAGGAGGAAUACAGGCUUAGUUGUAGAAACUGCCAUCCCAGGUUCUGGGGUUUUGUUUCCAGGAGUGAUUGGCUCCAAAUCUUUUAACAGCAGGUAUGGCCAAGUAAACACAGAGUACUCUCUUCUCAUAAAAGACUUGUAGAUUUAGGAUUUUUGUAUUGAUGUUCCUUCUGAAAUCCAUUUUCGCAUUAGCUGUGAUCAUUCGAGGUAAUUUUAUUUCCCCUGGUUUUAAUCUUCAUACCUUCUUGGAUUCUGGUAUCCCACAGCCUUGAGCUGGUCAGAAAUAAGUAUUUCCUUUUAUCAGCUGCAUAUUUGCUACUGCUUUAGUGUCUGGAUUCACCACUUCUUCUUUCAUGACACCAUAAAAUAAAAAAGCCCCUCAUUUACCUUUGCAAGAGCACCAGUAUCUAUAAUUUUGUACUUUCACCACUUCUGUCCUUCCUAGUUGUGAGUUGUCCUUUGAAGCCAGGGCAGAAUCCAUGCUGACCAUCAUGGGCAACCCAGAGUUCUUAGAAGACUUCACCAGGACUCACUCAGGGCUGCAGACAAGGUUCAAAGACAGCCUAAAUUUUAAAGUACCAGCAUGGGUGCCCAAAGUGUAAGGCUGAAGUCCUUAGAAAGGCUGAAGCAUUCACUCUCUAAAUUCCAAAUCAUCAAAUAUAGAUUUUACUUUACUUAGAGCUCUUUCAAAGGGCUCAGUACAAAGUAGUGAAAAAUGUUCAGCACUAGGAGACUAUAGUUAAGAGGUAAACAUGAAUUACAAUCACAGGCUGCCAUAGUACUGUCAGAAUUUCUCUUUACUUUUUCCUCAGUUUCCUGAGCAGGCAGAGAUGAAAGUCAUCCCAAGCAUGACUUGUUAGAAGUAAUGGCUGCUUCACAUAUUUGCUGUCAGAAACAGGGAGAAGACAAAAAUAUGCUGGUUAAAGGCUCAGACAAAGCCAUUUCCUCUACUUGGUCAUACAAGGUGAAAUACUUUGCCAUGCUGGAGUUUCUUCUAUAAUAGCAAUAGGAAUGAGGACUUAAAGAACUUUUUCUAUACAGUGGUUCAUUGGAAUCUCAUGUGAUAACAUGACUACCCAGAGCUGAAAACAAACCUAACAAGGAUUGUAAAACUCAUGGAAAAAAACAGUCUGGAACAGAUCAUCUCAAACAGCAUCUGAACACACCCCUAUUCUGAACUCCCAGCCAAAGCCCAAAUGUCCUGUUCUCAAAGAGAACUGAGCAGCGACAAGAAGUCAGAACAUACCCUGCCUACUCUCCAGACAUCCGUGCAGUGGAAAAACA
Cyanistes caeruleus (blue tit) is the source of this 1704-nucleotide non-coding RNA. The record is from RefSeq and is a predicted model, not a curated record. NCBI's taxonomy places the organism in Eukaryota, Metazoa, Chordata, Aves, Passeriformes, Paridae.